CAGCCGUAAACUAUGCGCGUUAGGUGUAUCGGUGACCACGAGUUACCGAGGUGCCGAAGGGAAACCGUGAAACGUGCCGCCUGGGAAGUACGGUCGCAAGGCUGAAACUUAAAGGAAUUGGCGGGGGAGGCACCACAACGGGUGGAGCCUGCGGUUUAAUUGGACUCAACGCCGGGAAGCUCACCGGAUAAGACAGCGGAAUGAUUGCCGGGCUGAAGACUCUGCAUGACUAGCUGAGAGGAGGUGCAUGGCGUAGACGUCU
RNAcentral lists this ribosomal RNA (262 nucleotides) under uncultured archaeon. RNAcentral's name for it is "partial 16S ribosomal RNA". It matches the Rfam family "Archaeal small subunit ribosomal RNA", at positions 748 to 1009 of the family's 1478-position model. The record is from RNAcentral.